RNAcentral lists this ribosomal RNA (461 nucleotides) under uncultured bacterium. Its description in RNAcentral is "partial 16S ribosomal RNA". It matches the Rfam family "Bacterial small subunit ribosomal RNA", at positions 338 to 795 of the family's 1533-position model. The record is from RNAcentral.
CCUACGGGAGGCAGCAGUGAGGAAUAUUGGUCAAUGGGCGCGAGCCUGAACCAGCCAAGUAGCGUGAAGGAUGACUGCCCUACGGGUUGUAAACUUCUUUUAUAAAGGAAUAAAGUGAGGCACGUGUGCCGUUUUGUAGGUACUUUAUGAAUAAGGAUCGGCUAACUCCGUGCCAGCAGCCGGGGUAAUACGUAGGGGGCAAGCGUUGUUCGGAAGGACUGGGGGUAAAGGGUGUGUAGGUGGUUUGUUAAGUUAGAUGUGUAAUACCCAGGGCUUAACUCGGGUGCUGCAUCUAAAACUGUUAGACUUGAGUACUGGAGAGGAUAGUGGAAUUCCUAGUGUAGCGGUGGAAUGCGUAGAUAUUAGGAGGAACAUCAGUGGCGAAGGCGACUAUCUGGACAGCAACUGACACUGAGGCACGAAAGCGUGGGGAGCAAACAGGAUUAGAUACCCGAGUAGUC